This 468-nucleotide ribosomal RNA is filed under the name uncultured bacterium. RNAcentral describes it as "partial 16S ribosomal RNA". It matches the Rfam family "Bacterial small subunit ribosomal RNA", at positions 28 to 507 of the family's 1533-position model. The record is from RNAcentral.
GACGAACGCUGGCGGCGUGCUUAACACAUGCAAGUCGAACGGAAAGGCCCUGCUUUUGUGGGGUGCUCGAGUGGCGAACGGGUGAGUAACACGUGAGUAACCUGCCCUUGACUUUGGGAUAACUUCAGGAAACUGGGGCUAAUACCGGAUAGGAGCUCCUGCUGCAUGGUGGGGGUUGGAAAGUUUCGGCGGUUGGAGAUGGACUCGCGGCUUAUCAGCUUGUUGGUGGGGUAGUGGCUUACCAAGGCUUUGACGGGUAGCCGGCCUGAGAGGGUGACCGGCCACAUUGGGACUGAGAUACGGCCCAGACUCCUACGGGAGGCAGCAGUGGGGAAUAUUGCACAAUGGGCGGAAGCCUGAUGCAGCAACGCCGCGUGCGGGAUGACGGCCUUCGGGUUGUAAACCGCUUUCUCCUGUGACGAAGCGUGAGUGACGGUAAUGGGUAAAGAAGCACCGGCUAACUACGUG